This 164-nucleotide unclassified non-coding RNA is filed under the name uncultured Sordariomycetes. Its description in RNAcentral is "sequence contains ITS2". Lineage: Eukaryota; Fungi; Ascomycota; Sordariomycetes. The record is from RNAcentral.
CAACCCUCAAGCCCCUGCGGCUUGGCGUUGGGGAUCGGCCCCCGCCCCGGCGGCCGGCCCCGAAAUGCAGUGGCGGUCACGCCGCGGCUUCCUCUGCGUAGUAGCAACACCUCGCACCGGGACGCGGCGCGGCCACGCCGUACACCAGACGAAUCUUCGCAAGG